GAUGAACGCUGGCGGCGUGCCUAAUACAUGCAAGUCGAGCGAACAGACGAGGAGCUUGCUCCUCUGACGUUAGCGGCGGACGGGUGAGUAACACGCGGAUAACCUACCUAUAAGACUGGGAUAACUUCGGGAAACCGGAGCUAAUACCGGAUAAUAUAUUGAACCGCAUGGUUCAAUAGUGAAAGACGGUUUUGCUGUCACUUAUAGAUGGAUCCGCGCCGCAUUAGCUAGUUGGUAAGGUAACGGCUUACCAAGGCAACGAUGCGUAGCCGACCUGAGAGGGUGAUCGGCCCCACUGGAAAUGAGACACGGUCCAGACUCCUACGGGAGGCAGGAGUAGGGAAUCUUCCGCAAUGGGCGAAAGCUUGACGGGGCAAAGCCGCGUGAGUGAUGAAGGUCUUCGGAUCGUAAAACCCUGUUAUUAGGGAAGAAAAAAUGUGUAAGUAACUAUGCACGUCUUGACGGUACCUAAUCAGAAAGCCACGGCUAACUACGUG
Molecule: ribosomal RNA, 497 nt
Filed under: uncultured bacterium
Lineage: Bacteria
Description: partial 16S ribosomal RNA
Rfam family: Bacterial small subunit ribosomal RNA
Source: RNAcentral